UAUGUGGCAAGUAGGACACGCCCACUAAUUGUGAGGCAGCAGAACACACUUGUGUUAAUUUGGUGGCGGUGCUUUAAAAGCUCUCCUCCUCUUCGUUCAGACAUGAAUUUGUGCUGUGCCAUACAUUCAAGGCAUCGGGAAGUAGAGCGGGGGUUGACAGGCAGGUAAGCCGGGCUUUGAGUUCUCUGAACCGAAUAGGGAGUGGGAGCUGACAAGUAAACUUGUUCACAGCUCCAUGCACACAAGAAACCGGCCAGACUUUGGCGCAUCUGCAACGUAGCGGCAAUGAUCUGCAAGCGUGACGUGACUCUGUUUGCUUAGAUCCGCCCUCCUCUCAGUGACCGGAACGUGUUUGAGGCUGCACGCCCUUCUCACCCCGCAAAUAGGGGUUUAAGCUGCUGCUUUGCUUUUAUUGUUUUUAUUGUGAUUUCUGUCCGGGUCCCACCCCCGCCACGGCGGAACCGGUUGGAGCGAACGCCCAGCUCACGGAGACGUCGUUGCUGUGGCAUCUCACCUGACUGUGGACGACUCCCACCAGCUGAUCGGCGGUGGUUGGGCGGCUUACCUGCGCCCCGGAACACUAAUCAUCUUUUUAAUCUUUACUUUUAAUUGUGUGUCUUUUAUUGAUAUCGUCAAUUUUAUUCUUGUUUCAGGAGGUAGGAGGCCGAGGUGGUGGACUGCUGUGUCUGGUGGUGGGACCCAGUGUGCUGUGUGGGUUCCCUCACGUGUGCAGUGAUUCACAAAAGGGUGUUUGCAUUGUCUUUACGCUGUUUUUAGCCACCUCGGUAAGCUCCUCCUCCAGAACAUUUUUAACUGACUUUUAUCAAGGAUUGUUUUACUAAAAGGUUUCUUAACAUUGUUUUUAACUGAAUUCUAAUAAAUUAUAUUUUAAAACAGA
Oryzias latipes (Japanese medaka) is the source of this 898-nucleotide non-coding RNA. The record is from RefSeq and is a predicted model, not a curated record. Lineage: Eukaryota; Metazoa; Chordata; Actinopteri; Beloniformes; Adrianichthyidae.